This 465-nucleotide ribosomal RNA is filed under the name uncultured Klebsiella sp. Its description in RNAcentral is "bacterial SSU rRNA". It matches the Rfam family "Bacterial small subunit ribosomal RNA", at positions 338 to 795 of the family's 1533-position model. Lineage: Bacteria; Pseudomonadati; Pseudomonadota; Gammaproteobacteria; Enterobacterales; Enterobacteriaceae. The record is from RNAcentral.
CCUACGGGGGGCAGCAGUGGGGAAUAUUGCACAAUGGGCGCAAGCCUGAUGCAGCCAUGCCGCGUGUGUGAAGAAGGCCUUCGGGUUGUAAAGCACUUUCAGCGGGGAGGAAGGCGAUGAGGUUAAUAACCUCAUCGAUUGACGUUACCCGCAGAAGAAGCACCGGCUAACUCCGUGCCAGCAGCCGCGGUAAUACGGAGGGUGCAAGCGUUAAUCGGAAUUACUGGGCGUAAAGCGCACGCAGGCGGUCUGUCAAGUCGGAUGUGAAAUCCCCGGGCUCAACCUGGGAACUGCAUUCGAAACUGGCAGGCUAGAGUCUUGUAGAGGGGAGUAGAAUUCCAGGUGUAGCGGUGAAAUGCGUAGAGAUCUGGAGGAAUACCGGUGGCGAAGGCGGCCCCCUGGACAAAGACUGACGCUCAGGUGCGAAAGCGUGGGGAGCAAACAGGAUUAGAUACCCCGGUAGUC